GACGAACGCUGGCGGCGUGCUUAACACAUGCAAGUCGAGCGGAAAGGCCCUUCGGGGUCCUCGAGCGGCGAACGGGUGAGUAACACGUGAGUAAUCUGCCCUUGGCUUUGGGAUAACUACCGGAAACGGUGGCUAAUACCGGAUACGACAACCGUCUGCAUGGGCUGGUUGUGGAAAGUUUUUUCGGCCAGGGAUGUGCUCGCGGCCUAUCAGCUUGUUGGUGGGGUAAUGGCCUACCAAGGCUUCGACGGGUAGCCGGCCUGAGAGGGUGACCGGCCACACUGGGACUGAGACACGGCCCAGACUCCUACGGGAGGCAGCAGUGGGGAAUAUUGGACAAUGGGCGGAAGCCUGAUCCAGCAACGCCGCGUGAGGGAUGACGGCCGUCGGGUUGUAAACCUCUUUCAGUACCGACGAAGCGCCGAUGAUGGUGGUGACGGUAGGUACAGAAGAAGCACCGGCCAACUACGUG
This 472-nucleotide ribosomal RNA is filed under the name uncultured bacterium. RNAcentral describes it as "partial 16S ribosomal RNA". It matches the Rfam family "Bacterial small subunit ribosomal RNA", at positions 28 to 507 of the family's 1533-position model. The record is from RNAcentral.